GUCUUCUUGCUGCAUUGUAACAUGGCAGGGGGCAUUACAUGGUGAGACCCAGCAAGCCUGCAGGAUCAGGUCUCUCCCUUUUAUAAAGCCAUUAAUGCCAUAAGGGGGCACCUCCUUCAUAAUCUUAUCUAUUCUCAUUCACCUCCCAAAGGCCUCACCUCCAAAUCCAUUAGCAAAUGAAUGUUGGGGUUAAAUUUCCAGCACAAGAACUUAAUGGGGAUAAAUUCAAACCUUAACAGUAGAGAUCAGAAUACAUUCAUUUACGGGACCAAGUAGUAAAUACUUUGAUUUUCUGAUCAGAGGGUGUCAGGUUGCACCUAUAUAACUCAGUCAUUGCAGUGUAAAAACAGCUGUAAGACAAUACUACAUGGAUGAGUGGGCUGUGCUCCAGUAAAAGUUUAUUUACAAAAACAAGUGGCAAGCUGCACUCUGGUACGUAGAAUAAAGAGUAAAUUCUUGAACUUUAAACCACUUUUAGUAAACCUGUCUCUACUUGCAUCUCUGAUUGCCCCCUCCUUCAUAUUGUCCUGCCCCCUCCUUCAUAUUUAAGGCUUUAAUGUUGCUUUUUUUGUUUUCUUUUGUAAAUGUUUCAUUUAGGUCUAAUUUACAUACCAUGGAAUUUAUCCAUUUAAAAUGAACAGUUAAUGUGUUGAGAGAAGAAAUCCCAUGCUUAUUAGAUACCUCCCCUAGCCCUUCCAUCAGCCACAUAGCUCUUGCCACAACUAAUCUAUUUUAUGACUGUGUAGAUUCACCUAUUCUGGAUAUUUCAUAUAAAUAAAAUCACAUAAUAAGUGGCCUUUUGUGACUAGAUUCUUUCAUAAUAAUUUUGGAAUUUCAAUUUCACUGUCUUUUCAAGAUUCAUCCAGACUGCAGC
This 874-nucleotide long non-coding RNA is filed under the name Marmota monax (woodchuck). Lineage: Eukaryota; Metazoa; Chordata; Mammalia; Rodentia; Sciuridae. The record is from RNAcentral.